GGGUUAGGGUUAGGGUUAGGGUUGGAGUUAGGGUUAGUGUUGGAGCUAGGGUUAGGGUUGGGCUUGGAGCUAGGAUUUUUCUGAGUGCAAUGAACCAACUCCCGAGUCUCUAGGACGUUCCUAAAAAAAUUUGAUUUUUUCCCAUAGGAAUGCAUGGGUUAGGGUUAGGGUUAGGGUUGGAGCUAGGGUUAGGGUUAGGGUUAGGGUUGGAGUUAGGGUUAGUGUUGGAGCUAGGGUUAGGGUUGGGCUUGGAGCUAGGAUUUUUCUGAGUGCACUGAACCAACUCCCGAGUCUCUAGGACAUUCCUAAAAAAAAUUGAUUUUUUCCCAUAGGAAUGCAUGGGUUAGGGUUAUGGUUAGGGUUAGGGUUGGAGCUAGGGUUAGGGUUAGGGUUAGGGUUGGAGUUAGGGUUAGUGUUGGAGCUAGGGUUAGGGUUGGGCUUGGAGCUAGGACUUUUCUGAGUGCAAUGAACCAACUCCCGAGUCUCUAGGACGUUCCCUAAAAAAAUUUGAUUUUUUCCCAUAGGAAUGCAUGGGUUAGGGUUAGGGUUAGGGUUGGAGCUAGGGUUAGGGUUAGGGUUAGGGUUGGAGUUAGGGUUAGUGUUGGAGCUAGGGUUAGGGUUGGGCUUGGAGCUAGGAUUUUUCUGAGUGCACUGAACCAACUCCCGAGUCUCUAGGACAUUCCUAAAAAAAUUUGAUUUUUUCCCAUAGGAAUGCAUGGGUUAGGGUUAUGGUUAGGGUUAGGGUUGGAGCUAGGGUUAGGGUUAGGGUUAGGGUUGGAGUUAGGGUUAGUGUUGGAGCUAGGGUUAGGGUUGGGCUUGGAGCUAGGAUUUUUCUGAGUGCAUGAACCAACUCCCGAGUCUCUAGGACGUUCCUAAAAAAAUUUGAUUUUUUCCCAUAGGAAUGCAUGGGUUAGGGUUAUGGUUAGGGUUGGAGCUAGGGUUAGGGUUAGGGUUAGGGUUGGAGUUAGGGUUAGUGUUGGAGCUAGGGUUAGGGUUGGGCUUGGAGCUAGGAUUUUUCUGAGUGCACUGAACCAACUCCCGAGUCUCUAGGACAUUCCUAAAAAAAUUUGAUUUUUUCCCAUAGGAAUGCAUGGGUUAGGGUUAGGGUUAGGGUUGGAGCUAGGGUUAGGGUUAGGGUUAGGGUUGGAGUUAGGGUUAGUGUUGGAGCUAGGGUUAGGGUUGGGCUUGGAGCUAGGAUUUUUCUGAGUGCAAUGAACCAACUCCCGAGUCUCUAGGACGUUCCUAAAAAAAUUUGAUUUUUUCCCAUAGGAAUGCAUGGGUUAGGGUUAGGGUUAGGGUUGGAGCUAGGGUUAGGGUUAGGGUUAGGGUUGGAGUUAGGGUUAGUGUUGGAGCUAGGGUUAGGGUUGGGCUUGGAGCUAGGAUUUUUCUGAGUGCACUGAACCAACUCCCGAGUCUCUAGGACAUUCCUAAAAAAAUUUGAUUUUUUCCCAUAGGAAUGCAUGGGUUAGGGUUAUGGUUAGGGUUAGGGUUGGAGCUAGGGUUAGGGUUAGGGUUAGGGUUGGAGUUAGGGUUAGUGUUGGAGCUAGGGUUAGGGUUGGGCUUGGAGCUAGGACUUUUCUGAGUGCAAUGAACCAACUCCCGAGUCUCUAGGACGUUCCCUAAAAAAAUUUGAUUUUUUCCCAUAGGAAUGCAUGGGUUAGGGUUAGGGUUAGGGUUGGAGCUAGGGUUAGGGUUAGGGUUAGGGUUGGAGUUAGGGUUAGUGUUGGAGCUAGGGUUAGGGUUGGGCUUGGAGCUAGGAUUUUUCUGAGUGCACUGAACCAACUCCCGAGUCUCUAGGACAUUCCUAAAAAAAUUUGAUUUUUUCCCAUAGGAAUGCAUGGGUUAGGGUUAGGGUUAGGGUUGGAGCUAGGGUUAGGGUUAGGGUUAGGGUUGGAGUUAGGGUUAGUGUUGGAGCUAGGGUUAGGGUUGGGCUUGGAGCUAGGAUUUUUCUGAGUCCAGUGAACCAACUCCCGAGUCUCUAGGACAUUCCUAAAAAAAUUUGAUUUUUUCCCAUAGGAAUGCAUGGGUUAGGGUUAGGGUUAGGGUUGGAGCUAGGGUUAGGGUUAGGGUUAGGGUUGGAGUUAGGGUUAGUGUUGGAGCUAGGGUUAGGGUUGGGCUUGGAGCUAGGAUUUUUCUGAGUGCACUGAACCAACUCCCGAGUCUCUAGGACAUUCCUAAAAAAAUUUGAUUUUUUCCCAUAGGAAUGCAUGGUUUAGGGUUAUGGUUAGGGUUAGGGUUGGAGCUAGGGUUAGGGUUAGGGUUAGGGUUGGAGUUAGGGUUAGUGUUGGAGCUAGGGUUAGGGUUGGGCUUGGAGCUAGGACUUUUCUGAGUGCAAUGAACCAACUCCCGAGUCUCUAGGACGUUCCAAAAAAAAAUUUGAUUUUUUCCCAUAGGAAUGCAUGGGUUAGGGUUAGGGUUAGGGUUGGAGCUAGGGUUAGGGUUAGGGUUAGGGUUGGAGUUAGGGUUAGUGUUGGAGCUAGGGUUAGGGUUGGGCUUGGAGCUAGGAUUUUUCUGAGUGCACUGAACCAACUCCCGAGUCUCUAGGACGUUCCUAAAAAAAUUUGAUUUUUUCCCAUAGGAAUGCAUGGGUUAGGGUUAGGGUUAGGGUUGGAGCUAGGGUUAGGGUUAGGGUUAGGGUUGGAGUUAGGGUUAGUGUUGGAGCUAGGGUUAGGGUUGGGCUUGGAGCUAGGAUUUUUCUGAGUGCACUGAACCAACUCCCGAGUCUCUAGGACAUUCCUAAAAAAAUUUGAGUUUUUCCCAUAGGAAUGCAUGGGUUAGGGUUAGGGUUAGGGUUGGAGCUAGGGUUAGGGUUAGGGUUAGGGUUGGAGUUAGGGUUAGUGUUGGAGCUAGGGUUAGGGUUGGGCUUGGAGCUAGGA
This is a non-coding RNA of Xyrichtys novacula (pearly razorfish), 2876 nucleotides long. The record is from the annotation of a GenBank genome assembly. NCBI's taxonomy places the organism in Eukaryota, Metazoa, Chordata, Actinopteri, Labriformes, Labridae.